RNAcentral lists this ribosomal RNA (497 nucleotides) under uncultured bacterium. RNAcentral's name for it is "partial 16S ribosomal RNA". It matches the Rfam family "Bacterial small subunit ribosomal RNA", at positions 28 to 507 of the family's 1533-position model. The record is from RNAcentral.
GAUGAACGCUGGCGGCGUGCCUAACACAUGCAAGUCGAACGGACGGACCAUAAGCUUGCGUCGUUCUUGUUAGCGGCAGGCGGGUGAGUAACGCGUGGAUCCCCUCCUUAUCUUUCGGGGAUAAUUUCGGAAAACCGGAUCUAAUACCGUAUGAUAUUCUGAACCGCAGGGGUCAAAGGUGAGUUACGGUCUUUGUGGCUGUAAUAGCUGGUUCCGCGCUGCAUUGGCUAGUUGGUAAGGUAACGGCUUACCAAGGCUACGAUGCGUAGCCGACCUGAGAGGGUGAUCGGCCACACUGGAACUGAGACACGGCCCAGACUCCUACGGGAGGCAGCAGUAGGGAAUCGUCGGCAAUGGGCGAAAGCCUGACGGAGCAACGCCGCGUGAGUGAUGAAGGUCUUCGGAUCGUAAAGCUCUGUUAUUGGGGAAGAACAGAUGUGUAAUUAACCGUGGCCAUCGUGACGGUACCUAAUCAAAAAGCACCGGCUAACUACGUG